This 1035-nucleotide ribosomal RNA is filed under the name Helminthosporium shangrilaense. RNAcentral's name for it is "SSU rRNA". It matches the Rfam family "Eukaryotic small subunit ribosomal RNA", at positions 53 to 1099 of the family's 1831-position model. Lineage: Eukaryota; Fungi; Ascomycota; Dothideomycetes; Pleosporales; Massarinaceae. The record is from RNAcentral.
UCGGGUCUAAGUAUAGGCAAUUAUACCGUGAAACUGCGAAUGGCUCAUUAAAUCAGUUAUCGUUUAUUUGAUAGUACCUUACUACUUGGAUACCUGUGGUAAUUCUAGAGCUAAUACAUGCUAAAAACCCCGACUUCGGAAGGGGUGUAUUUAUUAGAUAAAAAAUCAAUGCCCUUCGGGGCUCCUUGGUGAUUCAUAAUAACUUCUCAGAUCGCAUGGCCUUGCGCCGGCGACGGUUCAUUCAAAUUUCUGCCCUAUCAACUUUCGAUGGUAAGGUAUUGGCUUACCAUGGUUUCUACGGGUAACGGGGAAUUAGGGUUCGAUUCCGGAGAGUUAGCCUGAGAAACGGCUAACACAUCCAAGGAAGGCAGCAGGCGCGCAAAUUACCCAAUCCUGAUACAGGGAGGUAGUGACAAUAAAUACUGAUACAGGGCUCUUUUGGGUCUUGUAAUUGGAAUGAGUACAAUUUAAACCUCUUAACGAGGAACAAUUGGAGGGCAAGUCUGGUGCCAGCAGCCGCGGUAAUUCCAGCUCCAAUAGCGUAUAUUAAAGUUGUUGCAGUUAAAAAGCUCGUAGUUGAACCUUUGGCCUGGCUGGCAGGUCCGCCUCACCGCGUGCACUUGUCCGGCCGGGCCUUUUCUUCUGGAGAACCGCAUGCCCUUCACUGGGUGUGUUGGGGACCAGGACUUUUACUUUGAAAAAAUUAGAGUGUUCAAAGCAGGCCUUUGCUCGAAUAUUACAGCAUGGAAUAAUAAAAUAGGACGUGCGGUUCUAUUUUGUUGGUUUCUAGGACCGCCGUAAUGAUUAAUAGGGACAGUCGGGGGCAUCAGUAUUCAAUUGUCAGAGGUGAAAUUCUUGGAUUUAUUGAAGACUAACUACUGCGAAAGCAUUUGCCAAGGAUGUUUUCAUUAAUCAGUGAACGAAAGUUAGGGGAUCGAAGACGAUCAGAUACCGUCGUAGUCUUAACCAUAAACUAUGCCGACUAGGGAUCGGGCGGUGGUAUUAUUUUGACUCGCUCGGACCUUACGAGAAUUC